Molecule: ribosomal RNA, 492 nt
Filed under: uncultured bacterium
Lineage: Bacteria
Description: partial 16S ribosomal RNA
Rfam family: Bacterial small subunit ribosomal RNA
Source: RNAcentral
AGUGAACGCUGGCGGUAGGCCUAACGCAUGCAAGUCGAACGGCAGCACAGUAAGAGCUUGCUCUUACGGGUGGCGAGUGGCGGACGGGUGAGGAAUACAUCGGAAUCUACUUUUUCGUGGGGGAUAACGUAGGGAAACUUACGCUAAUACCACAUACGACCUACGGGUGAAAGCAGGGGAUCUUCGGACCUUGCGCGAUUGAAUGAGCCGAUGUCGGAUUAGCUAGUUGGCGGGGUAAAGGCCCACCAAGGCGACGAUCCGUAGCUGGUCUGAGAGGAUGAUCAGCCACACUGGAACUGAGACACGGUCCAGACUCCUACGGGAGGCAGCAGUGGGGAAUAUUGGACAAUGGGCGCAAGCCUGAUCCAGCCAUACCGCGUGGGUGAAGAAGGCCUUCGGGUUGUAAAGCCCUUUUGUUGGGAAAGAAAAGCAGCAGGUUAAUACCCCGCUGUUCUGACGGUACCCAAAGAAUAAGCACCGGCUAACUUCGUG